This is a non-coding RNA of Poecile atricapillus (Black-capped chickadee), 552 nucleotides long. Lineage: Eukaryota; Metazoa; Chordata; Aves; Passeriformes; Paridae. The record is from the annotation of a RefSeq genome assembly.
AUGGCCCCAAAUUGUCACCCUGUGCCCUUCACAUCCCCCUCCUGUGCUGGGGGCGCUGCCAGGGGGUUCCAGAACCUUCCGGAGCACCCAGCCCGGGACACGCCCGGAUCCGGCUUUGCCUCAUCCCCAUCUCCCCUUUUUCCCGCAGGGCUCCGGGUGGCCGUGACCCUGCUGGAGUCCGGGGGGGACCUCCAGCCCCCCGGGGGGUCCCUGCGCCUCCUCUGCCGCGCCUCCGGAUUUGAGUUUGGGAAUUUUGGGAUGUUCUGGAUCCGCCAGAAACCCGGGAAGGCGCUGGAAUGGGUGGCGAGCAUUGACAGCGAUAGCUACGCCUGGUACGCGCCAUCCGUGAAAGGCCGGUUCACCAUCGCCAGGGACAACGGGCAGAGCUCGGUGACGCUGAGCAUGAACAACCUCCAGGACGAGGAUUCCGGGGUUUAUUUCUGCGCCAAAUCUUCUCAGGCUAAUGCUGGUUAUCAAGCUUAUCGUGCCGGGCUCGCUCUGGCCUCGGCUGAGAGGGGAGAGUUGGGGCAGCAGGGGCAGAGUUUGGGGUGA